UAGUGGUGCACUAGGUAGGGUGCAAAAGCGGUUAUGUUGUAGCCUAGAUAAUGCACUUGUCUAGGGAAUACAGAGGGAUUUGAUAUUCAAGGACUCCGCCAAACCCCUGAGAUCAGGCACUUCUUAUUGGCUAGCUGUCUUCCGGUUCUUCUCUCUGAUUGGUCAGAAAUCGGUGCACGAGUCUCACCGAGCAGAAGUCCGCCUCUUUUCUGUUAGAGGUGUUACACUGGUAUGUUGUGUAAUUGAGGGAAGGAAAAAAAAGGUCGAGUGUAAUUAAGUGUGAGCGCUACAGGAACUCUCAGCAGGGCGUGACUGCACGAUGAUCCGGAUACAGCGCAAGUGUGACCAGGACCAAGAGCUUAUUGAAGAUAAAUCAGGGGAGAAAUCAACGCCACCUUCAAAAGAUGUCAAAAUAAAUAUUAAGUGUUACAUUUGAAUAUUGCAACGCCCCAGAUAAAAAAUGGGUCCCCAUUCAUUCUCUAUCUGCUGUUGCAAAGUUCAAUGAGUUCAACAACCUCCCCUUCUCUUCACCCUCACCCUCACCCUCCCCUCCUCUUCACCCUCUCUUUACCCUCUCCUCACCCUCUCCUUACCCUCCUCCACUUUUUGGGUUUAUACUAAGAUUAUGUAAGAAUCCCCUUUCGAAACGAGGUGCUGGGAGUUCUUUUUAACUAAGAGCCAGGCAGAACCUCCUUCUUCCUCUUCUGCCCUUUCACAUUCUAAUACUUCUGUUCUAAAGAUGGGGAAGUUAAAGGAAACACCUUUUACAUGUUAAAUAAUAUACCUGCUCAUCGCUGGGAUUAUUCAAAUCCAAAUCACUAUAAUAUAAUAAGAAAAAUAGGUAAAGUUGUAGAAUAAAACCGGUGCAGGUUAUCGCCAAUAUGUUACUACAUAACCUCAAAUAGGACAUGAACUGUAACUAUUUCUGACUGUAUACAACUGCCAGGGAAAAAUAAUAUAUAGGUAUAAUUAAAAUAACUGGUAAGUACCUAGUGCCAUUUAUCAUAAUGUACUUGCCAAGCCUUAUUCAUAGCUGACAAUUUACUAUCCACACAUGAGAAAAUCCAGCACAGCAUUUUGUGCCGAAUCACACGUCAACCAUGAAAUUUUAUUGCAUGAAUCAAACUGGCAGUACGGCUGAUACAUGAGGUAUACUACAUAAAAUGUACUAUAUGCUGACCUAGCACGUGUACUCCUAUAUUAUAUUCAAAAGAGGGUUUUUAGUUUAGUGACCUUCAGUAAAGUAAAGUCCCCAACUCCAGGCCUCCAAUUGUCCACUUCAGCAGCGUAGAAGUGCUGAGUGACCUGCACGUGCUGUGCAUCACAACUCCUUUACCCUUGUGGAGAAUUGAUUAUUCACUAGAAUUGAUUUCUGUAGUAAACUAGAAAUCGGUAAAUGAGAAUGUAAUCUUUUUAUUAGAAAUAAUUUUAGUUCAGCUAAACAAAAAUCUGGAAAUACAUUUAAACAGAUCCCUCAUGAACAACCCUGAGGGGACAGUGGCAAGGAAAACCUCCUGAGAUGAAAUAAGAAAGAAACUGGAAUCAGAUUCAAAACACCCAUCCUUUUCUAUGUGCAAUUAUUUUUACAUGCACAGUAAAAAGCAUUCAUAACACACACACACACAUAUAUAUUGAUUGAUAGAUAGAUAGAUAGAUAGAUAGAUAGAUAGAUAGAUAGAUAGAUAGAUAGAUAGAUCAAGCAGUUCCAGUAAAAGUUCAAAGUUCUGUAUGGAUUUAUACAGGUUAAUUACAUUGUUUUUCAUCUGUUUAUGAAUUUUCUUUUGCAGCCUGUGUUGCAUUCUUUUUUUUUUAAGA
Silurus meridionalis is the source of this 1815-nucleotide long non-coding RNA. RefSeq lists it as uncharacterized. The record is from RefSeq and is a predicted model, not a curated record. Lineage: Eukaryota; Metazoa; Chordata; Actinopteri; Siluriformes; Siluridae. The transcript has 2 exons.